Molecule: transfer RNA, 65 nt
Filed under: Sarcophaga misera
Lineage: Eukaryota; Metazoa; Arthropoda; Insecta; Diptera; Sarcophagidae
Description: tRNA-His
Rfam family: tRNA
About the family: Transfer RNA (tRNA) molecules are approximately 80 nucleotides in length. Their secondary structure includes four short double-helical elements and three loops (D, anti-codon, and T loops).
Source: RNAcentral
GUUUAAAUAGUUUAAUAAAAAUAUUGAUUUGUGGUGUCAUUGAUGGGAGUUAUUCCCUUUAAACC